Molecule: long non-coding RNA, 1596 nt
Organism: Setaria italica (foxtail millet)
Lineage: Eukaryota; Viridiplantae; Streptophyta; Magnoliopsida; Poales; Poaceae
Exons: 4
Source: RefSeq, a predicted model, not a curated record
AUUACCCACAGAGCAACCAUACCGACAUGAUGUGUUGAUGCUGCAGAUGAAUCGAUUACUUGCAUGUCUAAAGAAAAGAAGGCUACCACGCGGCAUGCUAAACGGUCGAGAUAUUCAGGGCCAAACCUCCCAGAGGACAUCUGGUGCCAUGUACAUUCCCUACUUUCAAUGCGAGAUUCUGCUCGUGUUGCCUCUGUAUCUCACACAUUCCUACGCUCAUGGAGGCACCAUCCAAACCUCAUAUUCAGUAAGGAAACAAUGGGCUUGAAACACAAUGCAUGUGAAGGGGGUGAUAUAGCAAGGGCUUUCACUAGCGAAGUUUAUCAGAUUCUGAAAAAACACUCAGGCACUGGCGUGAAGACACUUGAAUUUGACAUCUUUGAUUGUCGCAAUCUCAGCUCUUGUCAUCUCAAUACAUGGCUUCAGAUUGCUAUUACACCAGGGAUUGAAAGUCUCACCCUUAAGCUGCCUUUGAAAUACAAGGAAAGGUACAGCUUCCCGUGCUCACUUUUAUUUGGUGCGAAGGGAAACUCGAUUCAGCAUCUUCACCUCACCUAUUGUGCUUUCCAUCCCCCGAUUGGCAUUGAUUUCUUGAGACGCCUAACAAAGCUCUAUCUAAGAGAAGUGCUAAUUACAGAAGAAGAGUUAGGAUGCCUUCUGUCCAAUUCUUUUGCUUUGGAGCAGUUUGAACUCAUAUAUUGCAGUGAAAUAAUCUGCCUGAAGAUACCAUGCGUGGAGCGACUAAGCUGCGUGACUGUGUCUGAUUGCAAAUGCUGCAAAUGAUAGAGAGCAAAGCUCCAAACCUCUCCGCCUUUGUCUUCGAUGGUGACCUAGUACAGCUGUCACUUGGGCAAUCAUCGCAAGUGAAAAGAACCUGAGUAUGGACUGUGCAAAUGAGUCCAACUUUCUCUGUUAUGCUAUUACCAACCUUCCAUACAUCGUGCCACAAGUUGAAACUAUUUACUUAUCUUCAAUUAGUGAGAUGGUUAAUACACCAAUGCCAGCUGCCAAAUUCCUCCACCUGAAGUACUUGGAAGUUUAUCUUGAUGGCGACCUUUACGCAGGAUAUGAUUACUUGUCUUUGGUUUCUUUUAUCGACGCUUCUCCUGUUUUGGAGACUUUCAUGUUUGGCGUAGAGCAGGGUGAGAUGAUAUUUGAUUCAGUUUUUGGAGAUGACUAAAAUAUGAGGAAGAUGCCUGAACACAAGCAUGACAGCCUCAAGAAUGUGACGAUCUUAGGUUUUUGCUCCGCGAAGAGCAUGGUUGAGCUAGCAUGCCAUAUUCUCGAGAAUACAACAUCACUGGAAUGUCUCACCUUGGACAGCGUAUUUGUAUCAGAAUGAUGAAGACCAUAUUGGCAGGUGUUCUGUCAAUUCUACCCGAAAAAUUGGUGAAUGCUCCCAUCUGACUAAUGAAAUGAUCUUGGAAGCCAAUAACGGGCUCAUGGCCAUCGAAAGAUACAUUGUGGGGAAAGUUCCCUCUGCUGUUAAACUCGAUAUCCGGGGGCCUUGUUGCCGGUGCCAUACUUUGGAGAUCGAUGAUGAGUUAAAUUUUUAACUAUGUCCAUAUCGCGUCUGUUUUAUCUUCCUUUCUUUUC